GAUGAACGCUGGCGGCGUGCCUAAUACAUGCAAGUCGAGCGAACAGACGAGGAGCUUGCUCCUUUGACGUUAGCGGCGGACGGGUGAGUAACACGUAGGUAACCUACCUAUAAGACUGGGAUAACUUCGGGAAACCGGAGCUAAUACCGGAUAAUAUUUCGAACCGCAUGGUUCGAUAGUGAAAGAUGGCUUUGCUAUCACUUAUAGAUGGACCUGCGCCGUAUUAGCUAGUUGGUAAGGUAACGGCUUACCAAGGCAACGAUACGUAGCCGACCUUAGAGGGUGAUCGGCCACACUGGAACUGAGACACGGUCCAGACUCCUACGGGAGGCAGCAGUAGGGAAUCUUCCGCAAUGGGCGAAAGCCUGACGGAGCAACGCCGCGUGAGUGAUGAAGGUCUUCGGAUCGUAAAACUCUGUUAUUAGGGAAGAACAAACGUGUAAGUAACUGUGCACGUCUUGACGGUACCUAAUCAGAAAGCCACGGCUAACUACGUG
Molecule: ribosomal RNA, 497 nt
Filed under: uncultured bacterium
Lineage: Bacteria
Description: partial 16S ribosomal RNA
Rfam family: Bacterial small subunit ribosomal RNA
Source: RNAcentral